UCUCUUCCCACAGGAAAGACGUGGCCAAUCGCAUUUGGGUCUGGGAUGGGGUUAGGAAUGGCUUAUUCCAAUUGUCAACAUGACUUCCAGUCUCCAUAUCUUCUCCAUGGUAAAUUUGUAAAAGAACAGUGACUAAUGACUAAGACUAUCCCAGUGGGAAGGAAGGAGAAAUCAAUGAUUAUUCCUCAGGAAUACUGAAGUGCGCCUGGAAUAAGCCAACAUUCUUCAGUAAUGAUCACCAGUAACUCUUUAUACUCCAACAAACUGUUUCUGUACACGAAACCAAGUUCUGUUUCUUGUUUUGUAUCCUGUGUCUGGAAAGUGCAAGGAAGAGCUCUUCUGGGAAAUAAAUAAAACAAAAAUGGCCUUCU
Non-coding RNA from Meleagris gallopavo (turkey), 371 nucleotides. Lineage: Eukaryota; Metazoa; Chordata; Aves; Galliformes; Phasianidae. The record is from RefSeq and is a predicted model, not a curated record.